RNAcentral lists this non-coding RNA (26 nucleotides) under Mus musculus (house mouse). Lineage: Eukaryota; Metazoa; Chordata; Mammalia; Rodentia; Muridae. The record is from RNAcentral.
UAUGUUCGCUCUGAUUUGCCAGCUGU